Molecule: ribosomal RNA, 22 nt
Filed under: Coprinellus micaceus
Lineage: Eukaryota; Fungi; Basidiomycota; Agaricomycetes; Agaricales; Psathyrellaceae
Description: partial 18S ribosomal RNA
Source: RNAcentral
GAAGGAUCAUUAACGAAUAACU